UAAUUAAUUCAUUGAUGUUGG
RNAcentral lists this non-coding RNA (21 nucleotides) under Caenorhabditis elegans. The record is from RNAcentral. Lineage: Eukaryota; Metazoa; Nematoda; Chromadorea; Rhabditida; Rhabditidae.